This 324-nucleotide ribosomal RNA is filed under the name uncultured bacterium. RNAcentral's name for it is "bacterial SSU rRNA". It matches the Rfam family "Bacterial small subunit ribosomal RNA", at positions 28 to 334 of the family's 1533-position model. The record is from RNAcentral.
GAUGAACGCUGGCGGCGUGCUUAACACAUGCAAGUCGAACGAAGCACUUAUGAUUGAGAUUUCGGUUGAUUGAUUAAGUGACUUAGUGGCGGACGGGUGAGUAACGCGUGGGUAACCUGCCUCGUACAGGGGGAUAACAGUUAGAAAUGACUGCUAAUACCGCAUAACCCGCUAGGGCCGCAUGGCCCGGACGGAAAAGAUUUAUCGGUACGAGGUGGACCCGCGUCCGAUUAGCUAGUUGGCAGGGUGAUAGCCUACCAAGGCGACGAUCGGUAGCCGACCUGAGAGGGUGAUCGGCCACAUUGGAACUGAGAUACGGUCCAA